RNAcentral lists this ribosomal RNA (505 nucleotides) under uncultured bacterium. Its description in RNAcentral is "partial 16S ribosomal RNA". It matches the Rfam family "Bacterial small subunit ribosomal RNA", at positions 28 to 507 of the family's 1533-position model. The record is from RNAcentral.
GACGAACGCUGGCGGCGUGCCUAAUACAUGCAAGUAGAACGCACAGUUUAUACCGUAGCUUGCUACACCAUAAACUGUGAGUUGCGAACGGGUGAGUAACGCGUAGGUAACCUGCCUGGUAGCGGGGGAUAACUAUUGGAAACGAUAGCUAAUACCGCAUAAUAUUGAUUAUUGCAUGAUAAUUGAUUGAAAGAUGCUAUUGCAUCACUACCAGAUGGACCUGCGUUGUAUUAGCUAGUAGGUGAGGUAACGGCUCACCUAGGCGAAGAUACAUAGCCGACCGGAGAGGGUGAUCGGCCACACUGGGACUGAGACACGGCCCAGACUCCUACGGGAGGCAGCAGUAGGGAAUCUUCGGCAAUGGACGAAAGUCUGACCGAGCAACGCCGCGUGAGUGAAGAAGGUUUUCGGAUCGUAAAGCUCUGUUGUAAGAGAAGAACGGGUGUGAGAGUGGAAAGUUCACACUGUGACGGUAUCUUACCGGAAAGGGACGGCUAACUACGUG